AUUGAACGCUGGCGGCAUGCUUUACACAUGCAAGUCGAACGGCCGCGCGGGCUUCGUCCUGGUCGCGAGUUGCCAACGGGUGAGUAAUUCAUCGGUACGUGCCCUGCCGUGGGGGCUAGCCCGGCGACAGCCGGCUUAAUAUCGCACACGACCUUAGGUUGAAACCGGGGGUCCGAAAGGGCUAGCGCGUUUUGCGCGGACGUUGUCGGAUUAGCUAGUUGGUUGGGUAAAGGCUUACCAAGGCGACGAUCCGUAGCUGGUCUGAGAGGACGACCUGCCACACUGGAACUGAGACACGGCCCAGACUCCUACGGGAGGCAGCAGUGGGGAAUCUUCGACAAUGGGGGCAACCCUGACCGAGCAAUGCCGCGUGCGGGAUGAAGGCCUUCGGGUUGUAAAACGCUUUUGUUCGGGAAGAAAACAUCUGGGCUAAUACCCCGAGGGGAUGACGGUACCGAAAGAAUAAGCACCGGCUAACUACGUG
RNAcentral lists this ribosomal RNA (484 nucleotides) under uncultured bacterium. RNAcentral describes it as "partial 16S ribosomal RNA". It matches the Rfam family "Bacterial small subunit ribosomal RNA", at positions 30 to 507 of the family's 1533-position model. The record is from RNAcentral.